RNAcentral lists this ribosomal RNA (245 nucleotides) under uncultured bacterium. Its description in RNAcentral is "partial 16S ribosomal RNA". It matches the Rfam family "Bacterial small subunit ribosomal RNA", at positions 57 to 305 of the family's 1533-position model. The record is from RNAcentral.
GCAAGUCGAACGGAAAGGCCAAGCUUGCUGGGUGCCGAGUGGCGAAAGGGUGAGUAACACGCGGGUGAUCUGCCCCUAACUUCGGGAUAAGCUUGGGAAACUGGGUCUAAUACAGGAUAGGACAAUCGUUUAGUGUCGGUUGUGGAAAGUUUUUUCGGUUAGGGAUGAGCCCGCGGCCGAUCAGCUUGUUGGUAGGGUAAUGGCCUACCAAGGCGUCGACGGGUAGCCGGCCUGAGAGGGUGGAC